UGCAGGGCAGAGGAGAGCCAUCACCAAGCCCAGCAGACUACCAUAGACAAGCACACAGAAAUGAGCAGACAAGGACUAUGGAAACCAGGGUUGAAAUAAGAGGGCUGAUACUAAAGGUUGUGGAAUGAAGAGUCAGACAGGAUUUGCACGGCUCCCUGAAUGUUGGGGCAGAACAUGUCAUCCAUGGAAAUUGACUUAUUUUGUUCUACAAGAUGGUUCCAGGAAGUGCCUGUGAACACUUUGGGAAGGCUCGAUGUCUCCGAAGGCAUCACGAGGCUUGGACAGACACAAGUGUGUACUGUGAAAGGACACUUCACAUCCCCAAAACACCAAGGCUUUCUGAAGGGGUCUUCAGUGUGGCUCUCCAGCAGCCCCUGCAUCAGAGUCUGUAAAAGGACUGGCUUUUACUCUGCUUAUCUUGCUGCCUUUAUUUAGCAAAUAGCAAAUCUUCUAAAGUGCUUCAUCCAUGACAGUGACUUUAUAUACUCUGUCUUGAGGCUAGAAGACAAAAAUUCUUCUUUUGUCUUUGUUUUAGGUGUGUGUGUGUUCCUUUUGUUUUUCUAUUUAACUUCUUUUGUGUGUUUAUAUGUGUGGUGAGUAUAUGUAUACACGCUUGCUUUUUGUGAACUAAGGUUCUUGUGUGUGUGUAACACAAGCAUGUGGAGACCUCAAGUUGAUGUCCAGCAUCUUUCUUGAUCGUGCUCCACUUUUUGAGGAUGCAAGAAGUCACAAGGAGGAAGCUGGGCACAUUGGCAGUCUCUGGAAUCCUCUGGUCUUCACCACUCUUGACUGGAGUCCUUUUGAAUAUCCUGAAAUACAAAUAUUGCAGUUAUUUAUUGCAGGCAUUUGCUAGCACAGUGGGAAGCUGACCAACAGCACAUGUACCCACUGCAUGAGAGAACUCAGGAUUUUUCAGGGCCUGAAAAACCCCUUUCCAUUUUAGCACUUCAGAAACCUAGGUUUAAAAAAAUAGGUUCUGGUUCAAAGUUCCACAGAUCAGCCUAGAACUAUGUGUGUCUGGCACAGUGUUCUUCAGGAUGCUUUAGAGGCAAAGGAAGAAAAGCAAAAGCCAAGAACCGUGUACAUUCAACAUAAUCAGCUGUGAUUGCUCUUGCCAACUUGCCUCUGAUGAACUGCAGACAGACGGCCAUCAUGUUCCUAGCCUUGUAUGAGUCACUGGGAAGGACUCUGAAGGUGGCUUGAUGGCUAAGGCAUAUAAAUGACCAUUGAAAAGGGAAAGAAAGGGGGCUGGUGAGAUGGCUCAGUGGGUAAGAGCACCCGACUGCUCUUCCGAAGGUCCAGAGUUCAAAUCCCAGCAACCACAUGGUGGCUCACAACCAUCUGUAACAAGAUCUGACUCCCUCUUCUGGAGUGUCUAAAGACAGCUACAGUGUACUUACAUAUAAUAAAUAAAUACAUCUAAAAAAAAAAAGAAAAGGG
This 1440-nucleotide long non-coding RNA is filed under the name Mus spicilegus (steppe mouse). Its description in RNAcentral is "lncRNA (ENSMSIG00000016534.1)". Lineage: Eukaryota; Metazoa; Chordata; Mammalia; Rodentia; Muridae. The record is from RNAcentral.